RNAcentral lists this ribosomal RNA (253 nucleotides) under uncultured bacterium. Its description in RNAcentral is "partial 16S ribosomal RNA". It matches the Rfam family "Bacterial small subunit ribosomal RNA", at positions 524 to 776 of the family's 1533-position model. The record is from RNAcentral.
UACAGAGGGGGCAAGCGUUAUUCGGAAUUAUUGGGCGUAAAGGGCGCGUAGGCGGCUUGUACAGUCAGACGUGAAAUUCCUGGGCUCAACCUGGGGGCUGCGUUUGAUACGUAUGGGCUUGAGUUCGGAAGAGGGUCGUGGAAUUCCCAGUGUAGAGGUGAAAUUCGUAGAUAUUGGGAAGAACACCGGUGGCGAAGGCGGCGACCUGGUCCGAUACUGACGCUGAGGCGCGAAAGCGUGGGGAGCAAACAGG